GUCGAGAAUCUUUCACAAUGGGGGCAACCCUGAUGGAGCGACGCCGCGUGGAGGAUAAGGUCUUCGGAUUGUAAACUCCUGUCAUGCGUGAACAAGGUUGCUUGGUUAAUACCUGGGCAAAUUGAUGGUAACGCAAGAGGAAGAGACGGCUAACUCUGUGCCAGCAGCCGCGGUAAUACAGAGGUCUCAAGCGUUGUUCGGAAUCACUGGGCGUAAAGGGUGCGUAGGUGGCGUGGUAAGUCAGAUGUGAAAGCCCGGGGCUCAACCUCGGAACUGCAUCCGAUACUGCCAUGCUAGAGUACUGGAGAGGUGACUAGAAUUCUCGGUGUAGCUGUGAAAUGCGUAGAUAUCGAGAGGAAUACCAAAGGCGUAGGCAGGUCACUGGACAGUUACUGACACUGAGGCACGAAGGCCAGGGGAGCGAACGGGAUUAGAAACCCUGGUAGUCC
RNAcentral lists this ribosomal RNA (449 nucleotides) under uncultured bacterium. Its description in RNAcentral is "partial 16S ribosomal RNA". It matches the Rfam family "Bacterial small subunit ribosomal RNA", at positions 354 to 796 of the family's 1533-position model. The record is from RNAcentral.